GACGAACGCUGGCGGCAGGCCUAACACAUGCAAGUCGAGCGGACCUUUCGGGGUCAGCGGCGGACGGGUGAGUAACGCGUGGGAAUAUGCCCUUCUCUACGGAAUAGUCCUGGGAAACUGGGGGUAAUACCGUAUACGCCCUUUGGGGGAAAGAUUUAUCGGGGAAGGAUUAGCCCGCGUUGGAUUAGGUAGUUGGUGGGGUAAUGGCCUACCAAGCCGACGAUCCAUAGCUGGUUUGAGAGGAUGAUCAGCCACACUGGGACUGAGACACGGCCCAGACUCCUGCGAGAGGCAGCAGUGGGGAAUCUUAGACAAUGGGGGCAACCCUGAUCUAGCCAUGCCGCGUGAGUGAUGAAGGCCUUAGGAUUGUAAAGCGCUUUCAGCUGGGAAGAUAAGGACGGUACCAGCAGAAGAAGCCCCGGCUAACUCCGU
RNAcentral lists this ribosomal RNA (432 nucleotides) under uncultured bacterium. Its description in RNAcentral is "partial 16S ribosomal RNA". It matches the Rfam family "Bacterial small subunit ribosomal RNA", at positions 28 to 506 of the family's 1533-position model. The record is from RNAcentral.